This 253-nucleotide ribosomal RNA is filed under the name uncultured bacterium. RNAcentral describes it as "partial 16S ribosomal RNA". It matches the Rfam family "Bacterial small subunit ribosomal RNA", at positions 524 to 776 of the family's 1533-position model. The record is from RNAcentral.
UACGUAGGGGGCUAGCGUUGUCCGGAAUCAUUGGGCGUAAAGCGCGCGUAGGCGGCCAGAUAAGUCCGGUGUGAAAGUCACAGGCUCAACCUGUGAAUGCCGCUGGAAACUGUCUGGCUAGAGUCCGGAAGGGGCGAGUGGAAUUCCUGGUGUAGCGGUGAAAUGCGCAGAUACCAGGAGGAACACCAGUGGCGAAGGCGGUGCUCUGGGCCGGAACUGACGCUGAGGAGCGAAAGCGUGGGGAGCAAACAGG